ACGGAAGGCAGCAGUGGGGAAUAUUGCACAAUGGGGGAAACCCUGAUGCAGCAACGCCGCGUGAGGGAAGAAGGUUUUUGGAUUGUAAACCUCUGUCUUUGGGGACGAUGAUGACGGUAUCCAAAGAGGAAGCUCCGGCUAACUACGUGCCAGCAGCCGCGGUAAUACGUAGGGGGCGAGCGUUGUCCGGAAUUACUGGGUGUAAAGGGAGUGUAGGCGGGUUUGCAAGUUGAAUGUGAAAUUUAUGGGCUUAACCCAUAAACUGCGUUCAAAACUGCAUAUCUUGAGUGGAGUAGAGGUAAACGGAAUUCCUAGUGUAGCGGUGAAAUGCGUAGAUAUUAGGAGGAACACCAGUGGCGAAAGCGGUUUACUGGGCUCUAACUGACGCUGAGGCUCGAAAGCGUGGGGAGCAAACAGGAUUAGAUACCCUGGUA
Molecule: ribosomal RNA, 434 nt
Filed under: uncultured Clostridium sp.
Lineage: Bacteria; Bacillati; Bacillota; Clostridia; Eubacteriales; Clostridiaceae
Description: partial 16S ribosomal RNA
Rfam family: Bacterial small subunit ribosomal RNA
Source: RNAcentral